Molecule: long non-coding RNA, 1014 nt
Filed under: Pogona vitticeps (central bearded dragon)
Lineage: Eukaryota; Metazoa; Chordata; Lepidosauria; Squamata; Agamidae
Description: lncRNA (ENSPVIG00000024784.1)
Source: RNAcentral
AUGUACUAUAUUUUGAAACAAGGUGGUACCCACUCUCCAAGUCUCCUCUAUUUAGCGGUCGACCUCUGUGAGUGGUGCCUAGCAGAUCAUAUCUGCCUCACAGCUUUAGACAUUGCCAGCCAUGACAACAACUUGGAUGAUCUACUCAACCACACAAACUCUCAAGCUCACGAAUGGGAGUUAGACCAAUCAGUUUUUCUUCACCUAUGUGAAUGGUGGGGCAAACCAGCUCUUGACCUCUUCACCUCAGAAGUGCAAACGAUAUUGCUCCUGAGCUGGCAUUGGCAAACAUUCCUAAGGAGAUGCAUUCGUCAGCCAAUGGCCCAAGACCCUCACUUACCUUUCUCCGCCGUUCCCACUUCUCCACAAGGUUGUGGUUCGCCUAUAACAAGACAAACCCAAUGCCAUCGUUAUAGCCCCUUGGUGGCUGGGACAACCCUGGUUUUCAGUCCUUCACAAUCUCUCAUCAGACAUUCACCACCUGUCUCACCUGCCCCACCUCCUCACAUAGAACAAUGCCCAAGUACUCCACCCAAACUUACCUGUACUGCACCUGGCAGCAUGGAGGAUUCCGCCUUGCUAAUGAAUGUCCUCUGUCAAUCAAAGAAGCCCUCCACUAGAAAGGCUUACCUGUACAAAUGGAACAGAUUCAAAUCCUUCACUGAAUCUUCUUCAUUGCCUUCUAUCAACCCAUCACUUGCUACUGUUCUAUGUUUUUCGCUUCAUCUCAAGUCUAGCAGCUUUUCCCUCCCUUCCUUGAGAGUUUACCUCUCCGCCAUAGUUUCUUAUCAGCCCUCUAACUCUCUGGAUUUCUUCAAGCAUCCAACAUUGAAACAUUUUUUAAAAGGUCUACAUCAUAUCUACCUAGAUACCUGCCCAUCUACCCCGCAAUUGUCACUAACACUAGUACUGCAACAACUUACUAAAGCUCCUUUCGAAUCUUUAGCUUCAACUGAUUUACAGCUACUUACCUUUAAAACGGUUUUCCUCGUUGCCAUCACCUCAGCUGAAUGA